UGGGGAAUAUUGCACAAUGGGCGAAAGCCUGAUGCAGCAACGCCGCGUGAGUGAUGAAGGCCUUCGGGUUGUAAAGCUCUGUCUUCUGGGACGAUAAUGACGGUACCAGAGGAGGAAGCCACGGCUAACUACGUGCCAGCAGCCGCGGUAAUACGUAGGUGGCAAGCGUUGUCCGGAUUUACUGGGCGUAAAGGAUGCGUAGGCGGAUGCUUAAGUCAGAUGUGAAAUUCCCAGGCUUAACUUGGGAACUGCAUUUGAAACUGGGUAUCUAGAGUGCGGGAGAGGAAAGUGGAAUUCCUAGUGUAGCGGUGAAAUGCGUAGAGAUUAGGAAGGACACCAGUGGCGAAGGCGACUUUCUGGACCGUAACUGACGCUGAGGCAUGAAAGCGUGGGGAGCAAACA
This 402-nucleotide ribosomal RNA is filed under the name uncultured bacterium. Its description in RNAcentral is "bacterial SSU rRNA". It matches the Rfam family "Bacterial small subunit ribosomal RNA", at positions 355 to 774 of the family's 1533-position model. The record is from RNAcentral.